AGCGCUUAAAGUCUUGUAAUUGGAAUGAUGGGAAUCUAAACCCUUCCCAGAGUAUCAAUUGGAGGGCAAGUCUGGUGCCAGCAGCCGCGGUAAUUCCAGCUCCAAUAGCGUAUAUUAAAGUUGUUGCAGUUAAGAAGCUCGUAGUUGAAUUUCUGCCUUGUCAUUAAUCUCGCUUCCGAGCGUUUUUUUAUUGGCUUGGCAUCUUCUGGAUUUGGUGCCUUCGGGUACUAUUUUCCAGGAUUUACUUUGAGAAAACUAGAGUGUUUCAAACAGGCAUUCGCCUUGAAUACUACAGCAUGGAAUAAUGAAGUAGGACUUUGGUUCUAUUUUGUUGGUUAUUGAGCCAGAGUAAUGGUUAAUAGGAGCAGUUGGGGGCAUUCGUAUUUAACUGUCAGAGGUGAAAUUCUUAGAUUUGUUAAAGACGAACUACUGCGAAAGCAUUUGCCAAGGAUGUUUUCAUUAAUCAAGAACGAAAGUUAGGGGAUCGAAGACGAUCAGAUACCGUCGUAGUCCUAACCAUAAACUAUGCCGACUAGAGAUUGGAGGUCGUCAGUUUAAAC
Molecule: ribosomal RNA, 560 nt
Filed under: Babesia microti
Lineage: Eukaryota; Apicomplexa; Aconoidasida; Piroplasmida; Babesiidae
Description: SSU rRNA
Rfam family: Eukaryotic small subunit ribosomal RNA
Source: RNAcentral